This 496-nucleotide ribosomal RNA is filed under the name uncultured bacterium. RNAcentral's name for it is "partial 16S ribosomal RNA". It matches the Rfam family "Bacterial small subunit ribosomal RNA", at positions 29 to 507 of the family's 1533-position model. The record is from RNAcentral.
ACGAACGCUGGCGGCGUGCCUAAUACAUGCAAGUUGAGCGCUGAAGGUUGGUACUUGUACCAACUGGAUGAGCAGCGAACGGGUGAGUACCGCGUGGGGAAUCUGCCUUUGAGCGGGGGACAACAUUUGGAAACGAAUGCUAAUACCGCAUAAAAACUUUAAACACAAGUUUUAAGUUUGAAAGAUGCAAUUGCAUCACUCAAAGAUGAUCCCGCGUUGUAUUAGCUAGUUGGUGAGGUAAAGGCUCACCAAGGCGAUGAUACAUAGCCGACCUGAGAGGGUGAUCGGCCACAUUGGGACUGAGACACGGCCCAAACUCCUACGGGAGGCAGCAGUAGGGAAUCUUCGGCAAUGGACGAAAGUCUGACCGAGCAACGCCGCGUGAGUGAAGAAGGGUUUCGGAUCGUAAAACUCUGUUGGUAGAGAAGAACGUUGGUGAGAGUGGAAAGCUCAUCAAGUGACGGUAACUACCCAGAAAGGGACGGCUAACUACGUG